AGUGAACGCUGGCGGUAGGCCUAACACAUGCAAGUCGAACGGCAGCACAGUAAGCUUUUGCCCUUACGGGUGGCGAGUGGCGGACGGGUGAGAAAUACAUCGGAAUCUACUUUUUCGUGGGGGAUAUCGUAGGGACACUUACGAUAAUACCGAAUACGUCCUACGGGUGAAAGCAGGGGAUCUUCGGACCUUUCGCGUUUGAAUGAGCCGAUGUCGCAUUAGCUAGUUGGCGAGGUAACGGCCCACCAAGGCAACGAUGCAUAGCCGACAUGAGAGGAUGAUCGGCCACACUGGAACUGAGACACGGUCCAGACUACUACGGGAGGUAGCAGUAGGGAAUCUUCCGCAAUGGGCGAAAGCCUGACGGAGCAACGCAGCGUGAGUGAUGAAGGUCUUCGGAUCGUAAAACUCUGUUAUUAGGGAAGAACAUAUGUGUAAGUAACUGUGCACAGCUUGACGGUACCUAAUCAGAAAGCCACGGCUAACUACGUG
Molecule: ribosomal RNA, 492 nt
Filed under: uncultured bacterium
Lineage: Bacteria
Description: partial 16S ribosomal RNA
Rfam family: Bacterial small subunit ribosomal RNA
Source: RNAcentral